Molecule: small nucleolar RNA, 151 nt
Filed under: Mus spicilegus (steppe mouse)
Lineage: Eukaryota; Metazoa; Chordata; Mammalia; Rodentia; Muridae
Description: Small nucleolar RNA SNORA17 (ENSMSIG00000014639.1)
Rfam family: Small nucleolar RNA SNORA17
About the family: snoRNA ACA 17 belongs to the H/ACA family of snoRNAs and is predicted to guide pseudouridylation of the 28S rRNA at positions U4659 and U4598. It shares the same host gene together with ACA43. NB This family has a high threshold value to exclude a large number of closely related sequences that do not appear to have conserved H and ACA boxes, and may be pseudogenes.
Source: RNAcentral
UCUGCCCCUAAAGGCAUGGCAGGUGUGGCUGCUGUGUCACAUGUGCAUCAGUAGGUGGCAGAGAGGAGAGAGGCUAUGUCUAAGUUCAGUGUUCUGACCUGUUUAUAACAUAACAGUGUUCAUAAACAUCUGAAUGAUUAAUAGCCUAACA